Molecule: ribosomal RNA, 253 nt
Filed under: uncultured bacterium
Lineage: Bacteria
Description: partial 16S ribosomal RNA
Rfam family: Bacterial small subunit ribosomal RNA
Source: RNAcentral
UACGGGGGGUGCGAGCGUUGUCCGGAAUCACUGGGCGUAAAGGGCGCGUAGGCGGAUCGUUAAGUACCUUGUGAAAUCCCACGGCUCAACCGUGGAACGGCUGGGUAUACUGGCGGUCUUGGGCCAUUCAGGGGCGACUGGAACAAGCGGUGGAGCGGUGAAAUGCGUAGAUAUCGCUUGGAACGCCGAAGGUGAAAACAGGUCGCUGGGGAUGUGCCGACGCUGAGACACGAAAGCCAGGGGAGCAAACGGG